UACAGAGGGGGCAAGCGUUGUUCGGAAUUACUGGGCGUAAAGGGCGCGUAGGCGGCCUUCUAAGUCGAACGUGAAAUCCCCGGGCUCAACCCGGGAACUGCGUCCGAUACUGGAAGGCUUGAAUCCGGGAGAGGGAUGCGGAAUUCCAGGUGUAGCGGUGAAAUGCGUAGAUAUCUGGAGGAACACCGGUGGCGAAGGCGGCAUCCUGGACCGGAACUGACGCUGAGGCGCGAAAGCGUGGGGAGCAAACAGG
Molecule: ribosomal RNA, 253 nt
Filed under: uncultured bacterium
Lineage: Bacteria
Description: partial 16S ribosomal RNA
Rfam family: Bacterial small subunit ribosomal RNA
Source: RNAcentral